RNAcentral lists this ribosomal RNA (53 nucleotides) under Caralluma europaea. Its description in RNAcentral is "partial 5.8S ribosomal RNA". It matches the Rfam family "5.8S ribosomal RNA", at positions 1 to 52 of the family's 154-position model. Rfam says of the family: 5.8S ribosomal RNA (5.8S rRNA) is a component of the large subunit of the eukaryotic ribosome. It is transcribed by RNA polymerase I as part of the 45S precursor that also contains 18S and 28S rRNA. The record is from RNAcentral. Lineage: Eukaryota; Viridiplantae; Streptophyta; Magnoliopsida; Gentianales; Apocynaceae.
CGACUCUCGACAACGGAUAUCUAGGCUCUCGCAUCCAUGAAGAACGCAGCAAG